Molecule: non-coding RNA, 31 nt
Filed under: Rattus norvegicus (Norway rat)
Lineage: Eukaryota; Metazoa; Chordata; Mammalia; Rodentia; Muridae
Source: RNAcentral
UCUGGGAACAGAAAAGAUCCGUGCUUACCAA